Molecule: ribosomal RNA, 206 nt
Filed under: uncultured bacterium
Lineage: Bacteria
Description: partial 16S ribosomal RNA
Rfam family: Bacterial small subunit ribosomal RNA
Source: RNAcentral
CGUGUAGGCGGUCAGGUUAGUGGGACGUGAAAUGCCCCGGCUCACCCGGGGACCUGCGUCCCAAACUGCCUGGCUUGAGUAUGGGAGAGGAUGAGGGAAUUCCUGGUGUAGCGGUGAAAUGCGUAGAUAUCAGGAGGAACACCGGUGGCGAAGGCGCUCAUCUGGCCCAAUACUGACGCUGAGGCGCGAAAGCUAGGGAGGCAAAC